CCUACGGGGGGCAGCAGUGGGGAAUAUUGCACAAUGGGCGCAAGCCUGAUGCAGCCAUGCCGCGUGUGUGAAGAAGGCCUUCGGGUUGUAAAGCACUUUCAGCGGGGAGGAAGGCGUUAAGGUUAAUAACCUUGUCGAUUGACGUUACCCGCAGAAGAAGCACCGGCUAACUCCGUGCCAGCAGCCGCGGUAAUACGGAGGGUGCAAGCGUUAAUCGGAAUUACUGGGCGUAAAGCGCACGCAGGCGGUCUGUCAAGUCGGAUGUGAAAUCCCCGGGCUCAACCUGGGAACUGCAUUCGAAACUGGCAGGCUAGAGUCUUGUAGAGGGGGGUAGAAUGCCAGGUGUAGCGGUGAAAUGCGUAGAGAUCUGGAGGAAUACCGGUGGCGAAGGCGGCCCCCUGGACAAAGACUGACGCUCAGGUGCGAAAGCGUGGGGAGCAAACAGGAUUAGAUACCCCAGUAGUC
RNAcentral lists this ribosomal RNA (465 nucleotides) under uncultured Klebsiella sp. RNAcentral describes it as "bacterial SSU rRNA". It matches the Rfam family "Bacterial small subunit ribosomal RNA", at positions 338 to 795 of the family's 1533-position model. The record is from RNAcentral. Lineage: Bacteria; Pseudomonadati; Pseudomonadota; Gammaproteobacteria; Enterobacterales; Enterobacteriaceae.